AUAGAAGUAGAUGUUGAGCAUUUUUGGGAUAUUAAUAUCUGGAUUGUGGAGAAAGAUGUAAUUCCUUUCUGUAACAUGGAACCUAUUAUAGGAAAUUGCAUCCUCACAUAUGUUUGGUAAGGUCAUCCUAUAAGUCAAUCAAUUAGUUAAUGAUGUGUUUUCUUUGUUGUUAAUAUUUAAUCAUCUUUAUUUUUAGGCAUUUGUAUAGAAACAUGAAGAAAGAACAAGCUGCCAGAUUUUUAUUUGUGAACACGUUCACUAUUUCACACUGUAAAAGUUUAUCAAUCGAAGAUAGGGCACGCGCAUUAUCAGAACGAUUGCUAGUUACAACUGCAAAUCAAAUUGUUUUGGCGCCUUGCAAUGUGGAGUAAGUGAAUACUUAGCAUUGUAACCUCAGUAAUCAUUAUGUUCUAUAUUCAUUGCUAUACUAAUUUUCUUACUUGUAUGAAAUAGUUCACAUUGGAUACUCACAGUCAUUGAACCACACAAAGGCCACGUUUAUCUGUUGGACUCUCUUUAUCACAGAAAUCGUGAUAUCCCUUAGAAAGUUGAUGUUGACAAGUAAGUUUUACAAAAUUUAUGUAAUAAAUUUUUUGUGUAUCUUUAUUAUUUGCUGUUGAUAAGUAAGUUUUACAUGUUGUUGUCCGUAUAUUAAUUUGCUCGUAUUCAUUCUUUUGAAGUGCCAUGAGUAUUUUCAAUGCACACAAUGGAAAGAAAAUCAAGAAUUCAGCAAAAUGGGACAUCAUAAAGGUGUGUGCUAUUGUUUAUAAAGAAUAUUAAUUCACAGUUGGUAACCUCGUAUUUUUAUGAUUCUAAACAUAGGGUCCUAAGCAACCUGGCAGUACGGAAUGUGGAUUUUUUGUAAUGCGAUAAUAUGAAAGACAUAGUCGAAGGGUUUGAAAGGGACGACAUUAUUUCUCUGCCGACUGCCAUCAUUGGUAUGCUUAUAAAUAUAUACUCAUAUUUUAAUGUAACAUUCUUAAUAAACUACAUUUGAUCACUAUUUUUUAUUUACAGUUUACGAAUGUAGCCUAUUCUCAAGUUGAAAUUGAUGAAGUUCGCGAGGAAUGGGCUAAGUGUGUUUUAUUACAUGUAUUGGACUGAUCAGGUAUAUAUUUUGUUUGACUUGUGAAUUAUAAUCAGGCUAUUAAUCCUCUUAUAUCAUCCCUAAGUGUGUUCUUACACAUAGUAGUCUGUUUACUGAAUUAUUCUCUUUCAUGGUCAGGUGUACGACAAUAGAAGUCAGGGGUACGUAGGAAGAUGUGUCAUUUUGUUUGUUUUUUUGUAUGGAUUUCAAUCUGGAAAUGAUGAAGAAUUUGGUGAAAAUUGUGUUGAACACCAUUUUUUGUUAAUGUUUGGAUGUAAAUUAAAUGACUACUUUAGGUACUUUGAAGCUACAAUGUUUGGAAGUUUAAGUUAUUUUAUAUAAUAUAUUUUUUGGAUUGUAUUAUUUGAGAAU
This 1459-nucleotide long non-coding RNA is filed under the name Salvia miltiorrhiza (redroot sage). RNAcentral describes it as "long non-coding RNA (SMIL_LNC000477)". The record is from RNAcentral. Lineage: Eukaryota; Viridiplantae; Streptophyta; Magnoliopsida; Lamiales; Lamiaceae.